UAAUACGAAGGGGGGCUAGCGUUGUUCGGAAUUACUGGGCGUAAAGCGCACGCAGGCGGUUUGUUAAGUCAGAUGUGAAAUCCCCGGGCUCAACCUGGGAACUGCAUUUGAAACUGGCAAGCUAGAGUCUCGUAGAGGGGGGGUAGAAUUCCAGGUGUAGCGGUGAAAUGCGUAGAGAUCUGGAGGAAUACCGGUGGCGAAGGCGGCCCCCUGGACGAAGACUGACGCUCAGGUGCGAAAGCGUGGGGAGCAAACAGGAUUAGAUACCCUGGUAGUCCACGCUGUAAACGAUGUCGAUUUGGAGGUUGUGCCCUUGAGGCGUGGCUUCCGGAGCUAACGCGUUAAAUCGACCGCCUGGGGAGUACGGCCGCAAGGUUA
Molecule: ribosomal RNA, 378 nt
Filed under: uncultured Serratia sp.
Lineage: Bacteria; Pseudomonadati; Pseudomonadota; Gammaproteobacteria; Enterobacterales; Yersiniaceae
Description: bacterial SSU rRNA
Rfam family: Bacterial small subunit ribosomal RNA
Source: RNAcentral